GCGGGCGUGGCGGAAGUGGUAGACGCGCCAGACUUAGGAUCUGGUGGGGCUUGCAUCCCGUGGGAGUUCGACUCUCCCCGCCCGCA
Molecule: transfer RNA, 86 nt
Filed under: Pseudomonadota bacterium
Lineage: Bacteria; Pseudomonadati; Pseudomonadota
Also listed under: 2 other names
Description: tRNA-Leu
Rfam family: tRNA
About the family: Transfer RNA (tRNA) molecules are approximately 80 nucleotides in length. Their secondary structure includes four short double-helical elements and three loops (D, anti-codon, and T loops).
Source: RNAcentral